UACGGAGGGGGCAAGCGUUAUUCGGAUUAACUGGGCGUAAAGGGUGCGUAGGCGGCGCUGCAAGUCUGGUGUGAAAUCUUCACCGCUCAACGGGAAGAGGCCGCUGGAAACUGCAGUGCUGGAGACGGACAGAGGCUGGCGGAAUGCCGGGUGUAGCGGUGGAAUGUGUAGAGAUCCGGCAGAACACCGGUGGCGAAGGCGGCCGGCUGGGUCCGAUCUGACGCUGAGGCACGAAAGCGUGGGGAGCAAACGGG
This 254-nucleotide unclassified non-coding RNA is filed under the name uncultured bacterium. RNAcentral's name for it is "contains 16S-23S intergenic spacer region". It matches the Rfam family "Bacterial small subunit ribosomal RNA", at positions 524 to 776 of the family's 1533-position model. The record is from RNAcentral.